Podarcis lilfordi (Lilford's wall lizard) is the source of this 138-nucleotide non-coding RNA. The record is from the annotation of a GenBank genome assembly. Lineage: Eukaryota; Metazoa; Chordata; Lepidosauria; Squamata; Lacertidae.
UGUCCAGUAGCACCUUAGAGACCAACUAAGUUUGUUCUUGGUAUAAACUUUUGUGUGCUGGUAUCUGAAGAAGUGUGCAUGCACAUGAAAGCUUAUACCAAGAACAAACUUAGUUGGUCUCUAAGGUGCUACUGGACA